CAUGUCUUAUUGAUUAUUAAUUUUAAGUCUGAUCUGCCCAGUGAGCAGUUUAACGGCCGCAGUAUUUUGACUGUGCAAAGGUAGCAUUAUAAUUAGUUUUUUGAUUGAAAGCUGGUAUGAAUGAUUGAACGAGAAAAAUUCUGUCUCAGUAAAGUUUUAAUUUAAAUUAAUUUUUAAGUGAAAAAGCUUAAAUAUUUUUAGAGGACGAGAAGACCCUAUAGAGUUUUAAAUUAUUUUAUUUAUAAAUAAUUUGGUAUUUUAAUAUUUAUAUUAUUUAUAUAUUUUUGAUUGGGGUGAUUGAAAGAUUUAUUUAACUCUUAAAAAUAAAAACAAUGAUUAUUGAUUAAUUGAUCUUUAAUAAAGAUUUAAAGAUUAAAUUACCUUAGGGAUAACAGCGUAAUUUUUUUUAAAGUUCUUAUUGAAUAAAGAGAUUGCGACCUCGAUGUUGGAUUAAAAUUUAUUUUUAGUGCAGAAGCUAAAAUAUUAAGUCUGUUCGACUUUUGAAAUUUUACAUGAUCUGAGU
This 523-nucleotide ribosomal RNA is filed under the name Eucnemidae sp. UPOL RK0303. RNAcentral describes it as "partial 16S ribosomal RNA". The stretch from base 388 to 523 matches the Rfam family "Bacterial large subunit ribosomal RNA", at positions 2473 to 2610 of the family's 2925-position model. Lineage: Eukaryota; Metazoa; Arthropoda; Insecta; Coleoptera; Eucnemidae. The record is from RNAcentral.